AACUAACGCUGGCGGCGCGUCUUAAACAUGCAAGUCGAACGGUAGUCCUUGAGCUUGCUUAGGGAUGAGAGUGGCGAACGGGUGAGUAACACGUGGAUAAUCUGCCUCCGGGUUGGGGAUAACUGUCCGAAAGGAUAGCUAAUACCGAAUGAGAUGGUGGUUACAAAAGUAGCAGCCAUUAAAGGUGGGGACCGCAAGGCCUACUGCCUGGAGAUGAGUCCGCGGCUGAUUAGCUUGUUGGUGGGGUAACGGCCUACCAAGGCGACGAUCAGUAGCCGGCCUGAGAGGGUGAACGGCCACAUUGGGACUGAGAUACGGCCCAGACUCCUACGGGAGGCAGCAGUUAAGAAUCUUGCACAAUGGGCGCAAGCCUGAUGCAGCGACGCCGCGUGAAUGAUGAAGGCUUUCGGGUUGUAAAGUUCAGUAAG
This 428-nucleotide ribosomal RNA is filed under the name uncultured bacterium. Its description in RNAcentral is "bacterial SSU rRNA". It matches the Rfam family "Bacterial small subunit ribosomal RNA", at positions 29 to 439 of the family's 1533-position model. The record is from RNAcentral.